This 1455-nucleotide long non-coding RNA is filed under the name Monodelphis domestica (gray short-tailed opossum). Its description in RNAcentral is "lncRNA (ENSMODG00000030620.2)". Lineage: Eukaryota; Metazoa; Chordata; Mammalia; Didelphimorphia; Didelphidae. The record is from RNAcentral.
UUUUGAUUUGAAAGUAGGUGUUCUCGUUUCUGAUUAUUGUGCUCUAUUAUGACACCUGUGAAGAUUGGAUUUGGCUCUCCCCUGAUUGUAACAAUGAAGGUACCUAGCUCUUCCCUGAUUGUGAAGAUUUAAAUUAUAACUAACCUCUAUUUUUAGAUUUUAAUCCCUAUGAGUGUAAACACCCUACUUAAAAGUUAAGUUUGGAACCCUGCCUAUUUUUAGAUUCAAUCACAAAAAAUGCAAAUAAAGUACUUAAAAGUUAAGUACGAAGAUCUGUCCAGUUAGAUCUAAUCACCAAAGUGCAACUAUCCCACUUAAUCAUGAAGUGGGACAUCUGUGAUCCACAUGUGUGGUAGUGGGUAACGAAUCAGAAUCAACUAACUGACUUCUGGGCAGUCCUAGAGUAGAGCAUCAGCUGUGAUUAGUAGACAUGGAAUUAGGGGAAGCGAUGCAAGAGAAAAUGUCUUUAAAAGUGGAGUUUGACUUGGAACUGGGAUAGACUUGGAGUGGAACCUCCUGUGAAAGGAGUUCUUCAAUUUUUGGAAGUGGAGAAUGGAGGAAUUCUUCAUGCUUUAGAGUUGAGGUUGGUGAAGGGGGGAAGAAGGAUCUCCUGACUGGACCUGAGACCCUGUUUUCCUGGUGAGGCUGAUAAAGAAUCUGCUGACUGGACUGACACGUGGAAGAAGAUGAGCCUCUCCGUUUAGGACUAGGAUUAUGGACUCUUAGCAUGAGUGGAAUAGGUGUGGUGCCUUUUUCCAUGAAUCCUUAUAAAGGAAUAUUCACUGCUCUGUCCCUGGUAGAGAGAAUUUUUGGAGGUUGUGGAAAAUUUGAGUCCCCCAACAUUCAUAUGUCAUUCUUCUAUGUGGAGCUUAUGAUUUGUUUCUAAAACAAAUGAGAGGAAUUCAGAGAAACAUGGGAAGAUAUGGAACAUGAUGGAAGAACUGAUGCAAAGAUCAGCAAGAACAACCAUAAGAACAAUAUGCACCAUGACUGUAACAAUGUCAAUGAAAGUAUCAUUAAAAUAAGUGGAGCUCAAGCAGCCACUACCCAAAGACACCUUCCUACUCCCAAGAAUCCUUCCUUGAUCCAACGUACAAUAAAAUGAAAUGAUAAGCAUGACCCAUUUUACAUCUGGAAUCUCUCAUCUGUCUGAUGAGAGGCAAGAAGCAUGUUUUAUGAUGUGACCUCUGAGGUGACAAUUGACAAUUGAGUUGAUCAGAGUUCUGAAGUUUUCCAGUGCUGUUUAUCCUUGCAUUAUUUUAUUAUAGUCACUGUGCAAACUGUUCUUUUUCUGCUGAUUUUGAUCUACAUCAUCUCAUUUAAGUCUUGUGAAUUCUUCAUAGUUAUCAUUUCUUAUGGCACAAUAAUAUUCCUUUACUUUGUAAUUUUAUCAUACAUUUGUUCAACCAUUCCUCAAUCAAUAAACACUCAUUUUCUUUCUAGUUCUUUGUUACU